GUAUUAUCUACUUAUACCCAGAGGAAUGAACAUAAUACCAUUCUACAGAGGAGCAAAUUGAGGCCCAGAAAUUCAGCAGGGCCCAGCAGUGCUGACUCAAUGGCAAAACAGUGUCGCCCAAGGGAUCACCUUCAGCUAAACAACCUCAAGCCCAGAAGUGACAGUGAUUCUGUCACGUUCCCCCAUCCCAGCAUCCUCCCUGAGAGCUCUGGUCUCCUCUAGGAAGGCCCAUCUGUGAAGUGGUGCGCUGAGGGGUCUCUCCCUGCCCCAUCUGUUCCUCUUGUAACCCACAAAGGACAGUUUGACAGAGGAAGCUAGAAGCCAUGGCUCAAUCUUUUUGUACUUAAAAAUCAAAGGCAGAGAAACACACACACACAAAUCUAGACCUCUAGAUUCUGCUCUGGGA
Molecule: long non-coding RNA, 406 nt
Organism: Bos taurus (domestic cattle)
Lineage: Eukaryota; Metazoa; Chordata; Mammalia; Artiodactyla; Bovidae
Source: Ensembl